Molecule: ribosomal RNA, 463 nt
Filed under: uncultured bacterium
Lineage: Bacteria
Description: partial 16S ribosomal RNA
Rfam family: Bacterial small subunit ribosomal RNA
Source: RNAcentral
AAUCAACGCUGGCGGCGUGCCUAACACAUGCAAGUCGCACGAGAAAGGGUCUUCGGAUCUGAGUAAAGUGGCGCACGGGUGAGUAACACGUGAAUUAUCUACCUUGGAGUGGGGAAUAACUUCGGGAAACCGAGGCUAAUACUGCAUAAUAUCUACGGAUCAAAGCAGUAAUGAGCUUGAAGAGGAGUUCGCGGCAGAUUAGUUAGUCGGCGGGGUAAUGGCCCACCAAGACGAUGAUCCGGAUCCGGCCUGAGAGGGCGCACGGACACACUGGAACUGAAACACGGUCCAGACUCCUACGGGAGGCAGCAGUGGGGAAUUUUGCGCAAUGGGGGAAACCCUGACGCAGCAACGCCGCGUGGAGGAUGAAGUCUCUUGGGACGUAAACUCCUUUCGAUAGGGAAGAUUAUGACGGUACCUAUAGAAGAAGCCCCGGCUAACUUCGUGCCAGCCGCCGCCGUAA